Molecule: transfer RNA, 72 nt
Filed under: Phrynosoma platyrhinos (Desert horned lizard)
Lineage: Eukaryota; Metazoa; Chordata; Lepidosauria; Squamata; Phrynosomatidae
Description: tRNA-OTHER
Source: RNAcentral
GCCAGUGUGGCAUAGUUGUUUGAGCAUUGGACUAUGACUCUGCAGAUCAGGGUUCGAUUCUCAGCUUGGCCA